This 305-nucleotide long non-coding RNA is filed under the name Cavia porcellus (domestic guinea pig). RNAcentral describes it as "lncRNA (ENSCPOG00000030668.1)". Lineage: Eukaryota; Metazoa; Chordata; Mammalia; Rodentia; Caviidae. The record is from RNAcentral.
GUUGCAGUCAAAAAACCCCAGGGUGAAAUCAGCACGCUGAGACGCAGCCAUGAAGUCUUGCUGACCUGGUGACCUUGAUGGAAAGCUUUGUUACUCAGCUGGAACGAGAAAGAUGCUGCAGCUGGGUAGAAGAAACCUCUGCAAGAGUUUUAGCCAUCCCUGUGUACCACAAAAGACUGCAUAGGCCAAUAACAUCAAGAAACUCUUGCUCUAAAAUCAUAAAGCAGAGGAUCAUAGUCUGUAUAUGUACUGCUAAAAUCCACGCACCUUUCUAUGGUGAACUGAGCAUAAAUAAGUGUGCCUGG